GGGUUGUGAGGUUAAGCGACUAAGCGUACACGGUGGAUGCCCUGGCAGUCAGAGGCGAUGAAGGGCGUGCUAAUCUGCGAUAAGCGCCGGUAAGGUGAUAUGAACCGUUAUAACCGGCGAUACCCGAAUGGGGAAACCCAGUGUGACUCGUCACACUAUCAUUAACUGAAUCCAUAGGUUAAUGAGGCGAACCGGGGGAACUGAAACAUCUAAGUACCCCGAGGAAAAGAAAUCAACCGAGAUUCCCCCAGUAGCGGCGAGCGAACGGGGAGGAGCCCAGAGCCUGAAUCAGCAUGUGUGUUAGUGGAAGCGUCUGGAAAGGCGCGCGAUACAGGGUGACAGCCCCGUACACAAAAGCGCAUGUGCUGUGAGCUCGAUGAGUAGGGCGGGACACGUGGUAUCCUGUCUGAAUAUGGGGGGACCAUCCUCCAAGGCUAAAUACUCCUGACUGACCGAUAGUGAACCAGUACCGUGAGGGAAAGGCGAAAAGAACCCCGGCGAGGGGAGUGAAAAAGAACCUGAAACCGUGUACGUACAAGCAGUGGGAGCAGUGACUGCGUACCUUUUGUAUAAUGGGUCAGCGACUUAUAUUCUGUAGCAAGGUUAACCGAAUAGGGGAGCCGGAGGGAAACCGAGUCUUAAUUGGGCGUUAAGUUGCAGGGUAUAGACCCGAAACCCGGUGAUCUAGCCAUGGGCAGGUUGAAGGUUGGGUAACACUAACUGGAGGACCGAACCGACUAAUGUUGAAAAAUUAGCGGAUGACCUGUGGCUGGGGGUGAAAGGCCAAUCAAACCGGGAGAUAGCUGGUUCUCCCCGAAAGCUAUUUAGGUAGCGCCUCGUGAAUUCAUCUCCGGGGGUAGAGCACUGUUUCGGCUAGGGGGCCAUCCCGGCUUACCAACCCGAUGCAAACUGCGAAUACCGGAGAAUGUUAUCACGGGAGACACACGGCGGGUGCUAACGUCCGUCGUGAAGAGGGAAACAACCCAGACCGCCAGCUAAGGUCCCAAAGUCAUGGUUAAGUGGGAAACGAUGUGGGAAGGCCCAGACAGCCAGGAUGUUGGCUUAGAAGCAGCCAUCAUUUAAAGAAAGCGUAAUAGCUCACUGGUCGAGUCGGCCUGCGCGGAAGAUGUAACGGGGCUAAACCAUGCACCGAAGCUGCGGCAGCGACACUGUGUGUUGUUGGGUAGGGGAGCGUUCUGUAAGCCUGUGAAGGUGUGUCGUGAGGCAUGCUGGAGGUAUCAGAAGUGCGAAUGCUGACAUAAGUAACGAUAAAGCGGGUGAAAAGCCCGCUCGCCGGAAGACCAAGGGUUCCUGUCCAACGUUAAUCGGGGCAGGGUGAGUCGACCCCUAAGGCGAGGCCGAAAGGCGUAGUCGAUGGGAAACGGGUUAAUAUUCCCGUACUUGGUGUUACUGCGAAGGGGGGACGGAGAAGGCUAUGUUGGCCGGGCGACGGUUGUCCCGGUUUAAGCGUGUAGGUGUGUGUUCCAGGUAAAUCCGGUUCACUUUAACACUGAGGCGUGACGACGAGGCACUACGGUGCUGAAGCAACAAAUGCCCUGCUUCCAGGAAAAGCCUCUAAGCAUCAGGUAACAUCAAAUCGUACCCCAAACCGACACAGGUGGUCAGGUAGAGAAUACCAAGGCGCUUGAGAGAACUCGGGUGAAGGAACUAGGCAAAAUGGUGCCGUAACUUCGGGAGAAGGCACGCUGACACGUAGGUGAAGUGAUUUACUCAUGGAGCUGAAGUCAGUCGAAGAUACCAGCUGGCUGCAACUGUUUAUUAAAAACACAGCACUGUGCAAACACGAAAGUGGACGUAUACGGUGUGACGCCUGCCCGGUGCCGGAAGGUUAAUUGAUGGGGUCAGCGCAAGCGAAGCUCCUGAUCGAAGCCCCGGUAAACGGCGGCCGUAACUAUAACGGUCCUAAGGUAGCGAAAUUCCUUGUCGGGUAAGUUCCGACCUGCACGAAUGGCGUAAUGAUGGCCAGGCUGUCUCCACCCGAGACUCAGUGAAAUUGAACUCGCUGUGAAGAUGCAGUGUACCCGCGGCAAGACGGAAAGACCCCGUGAACCUUUACUAUAGCUUGACACUGAACAUUGAGCCUUGAUGUGUAGGAUAGGUGGGAGGCUUUGAAGUGUGGACGCCAGUCUGCAUGGAGCCGACCUUGAAAUACCACCCUUUAAUGUUUGAUGUUCUAACGUGGACCCGUUACCCGGGUUGCGGACAGUGUCUGGUGGGUAGUUUGACUGGGGCGGUCUCCUCCUAAAGAGUAACGGAGGAGCACGAAGGUUGGCUAAUCCUGGUCGGACAUCAGGAGGUUAGUGCAAUGGCAUAAGCCAGCUUGACUGCGAGCGUGACGGCGCGAGCAGGUGCGAAAGCAGGUCAUAGUGAUCCGGUGGUUCUGAAUGGAAGGGCCAUCGCUCAACGGAUAAAAGGUACUCCGGGGAUAACAGGCUGAUACCGCCCAAGAGUUCAUAUCGACGGCGGUGUUUGGCACCUCGAUGUCGGCUCAUCACAUCCUGGGGCUGAAGUAGGUCCCAAGGGUAUGGCUGUUCGCCAUUUAAAGUGGUACGCGAGCUGGGUUUAGAACGUCGUGAGACAGUUCGGUCCCUAUCUGCCGUGGGCGCUGGAGAACUGAGGGGGGCUGCUCCUAGUACGAGAGGACCGGAGUGGACGCAUCACUGGUGUUCGGGUUGUCAUGCCAAUGGCACUGCCCGGUAGCUAAAUGCGGAAGAGAUAAGUGCUGAAAGCAUCUAAGCACGAAACUUGCCCCGAGAUGAGUUCUCCCUGAGACUUUAGGUCUCCUGAAGGAACGUUGAAGACGACGACGUUGAUAGGCCGGGUGUGUAAGCGCAGCGAUGCGUUGAGCUAACCGGUACUAAUGAACCGUGAGGCUUAACCUUACAACGCCGAAG
This 2915-nucleotide ribosomal RNA is filed under the name Salmonella enterica subsp. enterica serovar Enteritidis. RNAcentral's name for it is "bacterial LSU rRNA". It matches the Rfam family "Bacterial large subunit ribosomal RNA". The record is from RNAcentral. Lineage: Bacteria; Pseudomonadati; Pseudomonadota; Gammaproteobacteria; Enterobacterales; Enterobacteriaceae.